CCUACGGGAGGCUGCAGUGGGGAAUAUUGGACAAUGGGGGGAACCCUGAUCCAGCCAUGCCGCGUGUGUGAAGAAGGCCCUCGGGUUGUAAAGCACUUUCAGUGAGGAAGAACGCCUGGUGGUUAAUACCCAUCAGGAAAGACAUCACUCACAGAAGAAGCACCGGCUAACUCCGUGCCAGCAGCCGCGGUAAUACGGAGGGUGCGAGCGUUAAGCGGAAUUACUGGGCGUAAAGCGCGCGUAGGUGGCUUGAUAAGCCGGUUGUGAAAGCCCCGGGCUCAACCUGGGAACGGCAUCCGGAACUGUCAAGCUAGAGUGCAGGAGAGGAAGGUAGAAUUCCCGGUGUAGCGGUGAAAUGCGUAGAGAUCGGGAGGAAUACCAGUGGCGAAGGCGGCCUUCUGGACUGACACUGACACUGAGGUGCGAAAGCGUGGGUAGCAAACAGGAUUAGAUACCCCAGUAGUC
Molecule: ribosomal RNA, 465 nt
Filed under: Vreelandella stevensii
Lineage: Bacteria; Pseudomonadati; Pseudomonadota; Gammaproteobacteria; Oceanospirillales; Halomonadaceae
Description: partial 16S ribosomal RNA
Rfam family: Bacterial small subunit ribosomal RNA
Source: RNAcentral